CCGGAGUUUUCAGAGUGCGACGUUAUCGGAUUUACUGGGCGUAAGCGUGCGUAGGCGGCUUAUUAAGUCGGAUGUGAAAUCCCCGAGCUUAACUUGGGAAUUGCAUUCGAUACUGGUGAGCUAGAGUAUGGGAGAGGAUGGUAGAAUUCCAGGUGUAGCGGUGAAAUGCGUAGAGAUCUGGAGGAAUACCGAUGGCGAAGGCAGCCAUCUGGCCUAAUACUGACGCUGAGGUACGAAAGCAUGGGGAGCAAACAGGAUUAGAUACCCUGGUAGUCCAUGCCGUAAACGAUGUCUACUAGCCGUUGGGGCCUUUGAGGCUUUAGUGGCGCAGCUAACGCGAUAAGUAGACCGCCUGGGGAGUACGGUCGCAAGACUAAAACUCAAGGGAAUUGACGGCGAG
RNAcentral lists this ribosomal RNA (400 nucleotides) under Acinetobacter baumannii. Its description in RNAcentral is "bacterial SSU rRNA". It matches the Rfam family "Bacterial small subunit ribosomal RNA", at positions 518 to 920 of the family's 1533-position model. The record is from RNAcentral. Lineage: Bacteria; Pseudomonadati; Pseudomonadota; Gammaproteobacteria; Moraxellales; Moraxellaceae.